UACGGAGGGUGCAAGCGUUGUUCGGAAUUAUUGGGCGUAAAGCGCGCGCAGGCGGUCGGGUCAGUCCAUGGGUGAAAUGCCGGAGCUCAACUCCGGAACUGCCUUUAAGACUGCAUCGCUUGAACGUCGGAGAGGUAAGUGGAAUUCCGAGUGUAGAGGUGAAAUUCGUAGAUAUUCGGAAGAACACCAGUGGCGAAGGCGACUUACUGGACGACAGUUGACGCUGAGGUGCGAAAGCGUGGGGAGCAAACAGG
Molecule: ribosomal RNA, 254 nt
Filed under: uncultured bacterium
Lineage: Bacteria
Description: partial 16S ribosomal RNA
Rfam family: Bacterial small subunit ribosomal RNA
Source: RNAcentral